CAAUAAAAGGAUUGCCCUCAAGGUCUGUAGACUCUGUGUGUGUUUCUUCCUCAGCUUUGACUUAAUGAUAUACUGUAACACUUUGCCUGUUCUCAGCUCACAGAAAGAACACUUUGCCUCCCAGCCCUCCCUCAGUCUUCAGCAGUGAUGAGAUUUUGGGCAGGCCUUUGAUUCAGCGGCUCCAGCUCAUGAUCACUACUUACUGUGCAACCGCAGACUCUAAAUGACAUCAUCUGUGCAAGAUUACAGUGGCCAUACCUGGGACAUUUUGGCUUCAAUUAUCUACAGAGAAAGGAAUUGGAGACGCGUCGUCCAACUUUUUUACAGUCUAUGCUUUCUAACUGGAUGAGUGGCACCAUGGCCGCCACUCAGAAUCAGAUAUUCCAGAAAGCCAUGUAAUAAUAAAUGAUCUCAU
Molecule: long non-coding RNA, 415 nt
Organism: Cyprinus carpio carpio
Lineage: Eukaryota; Metazoa; Chordata; Actinopteri; Cypriniformes; Cyprinidae
Source: Ensembl